GAUGAACGCUGACAGAAUGCUUAACACAUGCAAGUCGAUUCGAUUUUACCUUCGGGUAUUGAGGAUGGCGGACGGGUGAGUAACGCGUAAGGAACUUGCCUCUUGGACUGGGACAACUGUUGGAAACGACAGCUAAAUACCGGAUAUUAUGAGAUUCUCGCAUGGGAAACUUAUGAAAGCUAUAUGCGCCAAGAGAGAGCCUUGCGUUCCAUUAGCUAGUUGGUGGGGUAAUGGCCCACCAAGGCGACGAUGGAUAGCCGGCCUGAGAGGGUGAACGGCCACAAGGGGACUGAGACACGGCCUUACUCCUACGGGAGGCAGCAGUGGGAAUAUUGGACAAUGGGCCACAAGCCUGAUCCAGCAAUUCUGUGUGCACGAUGAAGGUCUUCGGAUCGUAAAGUGCUUUCAGUUGGGAAGAAGAAAGUGACGGUACCAACAGAAGAAGCGACGGCUAAAAUACGUGCCAGCCGCCGCGGUAA
Molecule: ribosomal RNA, 479 nt
Filed under: uncultured bacterium
Lineage: Bacteria
Description: bacterial SSU rRNA
Rfam family: Bacterial small subunit ribosomal RNA
Source: RNAcentral